Molecule: small RNA, 964 nt
Filed under: Pan troglodytes (chimpanzee)
Lineage: Eukaryota; Metazoa; Chordata; Mammalia; Primates; Hominidae
Description: retained intron
Source: RNAcentral
CGUGACUAAUAAUCCAUAUGACACAGAGUUUUAACAUUGUUUUGUGUUCCACUGUCAAAACACCAAAGAACCAAAAGCAAAAGGAUUCUUUCUCCUCUCCUCCCUGCCAUCUCACAAACAUUUUACCAGGUGAAAUCCACUCUUAUAAACCCUAUGUAUGUGUAUAAAUAAUUAUAAAAUAGAUUUUAUUGGAGCUGUUACUGAACUCUAGAACUCUGUGUAACACAGUUUGAAAAGCUGCUCUUCUGUGUAUUAUAGAAAAGUUUAAACAAUUCUAGGAUGCAUUUAUAAAAUAAUAGACACCUAAUUUAGAAUCAUAGUUCUGAGUAUUAUCAGACCUUCGUUGUUUGUGGGAUAAGAAAAUUAUUUUGUUGACUCAUUCAGUAGGGGAAAAAACAGGGAUAGAGAGAACUAGACUGUAACAUAGACAUUAUAAUCAAUUUUAUUUUCUGAGUAAAGGUAAAAUAGGAAGCUGUGGUAGUAGUGAAUUUUAUGUUGACAUUGAUUCCUUGGCUACAUAUUUAUCAGUAUUUCUGAAUUUCCUCUUAGUGUAAUCGCUCAAAUUCCUCUUCUCCUGUUGACAAACUUAAUCAGCAGCCUCGUCUAACCAAACUGACACGAAUGCGCACUGAUAAGAAGAGUGAAUUUUUGAAAGCAUUGAAAAGAGACAGAGUAGAAGAGGAACAUGAAGAUGAAAGCCGUGCUGGCUCAGAGAAGGAUGACGACUCAUUUAAUUUACAUAACAGCAAUAGUACUCACCAAGAAAGGGAUAUAAACCGAAACUUCGAUGAAAAUGAAAUUCCUCAAGAGAAUGGCAAUGCCUCAGUGAUUUCCCAGCAGAUCAUUCGGUCUUCAACCUUCCCACAAACUGAUGUUCUUUCAAGUUCACUUGAGGCAGAACACAGAUUGUUAAAGGAAAUGGGCUGGCAGGAAGACAGUGAAAAUGAUGAAACAUGUGCUCCCU